Molecule: long non-coding RNA, 387 nt
Organism: Podarcis raffonei (Aeolian wall lizard)
Lineage: Eukaryota; Metazoa; Chordata; Lepidosauria; Squamata; Lacertidae
Exons: 3
Source: RefSeq, a predicted model, not a curated record
UAAGGCAGGAAAGCAAAAGUAUGCUGCUGCUGAAACGGCCAAAACAGGAAGCUAUAACCGAAGAUAGAGGAAAUGGCUGCAAGUACCAAGAUGCUGCUGCCUGAUGUAGUCAGACUACCAGCCUAGCACUGUCCACUCCGACUGAUGAAGGAGUCCCUUUCAGUCCUCCUAAACAAGACCGUUCCAUCUGGAGACUGAAGGUACAACUAUCUGGGUGCAAACCAUGGGUGCACUACCACGCAAUGAGUUUAAAGUCACAACAACCUGAUGGGGGUCAAUGGCUGAAACAAAUAAACCACAACAAGCACUACUACCAGUGCAUGUACUAUAUUUUUACAGGACACACCAUGGAUUAAUAAAUAUGGAAGUGAAAACCUCAAAAAUGCA